GGUCCAUGAGUUUCCUCGAUCAAAAACAAGAAAGUGUCCGAGUCCUAAUUGAGGUUCUCGAACCUAACUUAAUGUCUGCAGCAUACUAACAAGACAUUCUGAAGGUCGUGUUAGAUGGAUGGUUACCAGGAAUGGAAAGAAUAUGGUCUCUGGGGUUUUUCUUUUCGGACACCAGGGAGUUUUGCAUGAGAAGAACAGAUUUCCAUUAUUUAUUUGUUGACUCGGUUGUUCCCAGUGUGAAGUAAACAUUGUAAAAUGUGGAUAGCAGAAGACAGAGCAGUGGAUGGCUGGGCAAUUACAAUCAUCGUGAGGCUGCCAUCAGUCACUUUGUGCUAACGAUUACCCCGGCCAAUAGGAAAGCAGAUUGGACACAUAAGCCCUCUCCACCAGAACCAGCAUGUACGCAUAUAUCUCCCAUUCACAGGGCUUAGGAACAAGACACAAACCAGAUUUCCUUUUACUGAAAUGCCUCUUAGCAAUAAAUUCUCCUAAAACAA
This is a long non-coding RNA of Spea bombifrons (plains spadefoot toad), 497 nucleotides long. RefSeq lists it as uncharacterized. Lineage: Eukaryota; Metazoa; Chordata; Amphibia; Anura; Pelobatidae. The transcript is spliced from 2 exons. The record is from RefSeq and is a predicted model, not a curated record.